RNAcentral lists this long non-coding RNA (204 nucleotides) under Lathyrus oleraceus (garden pea). RNAcentral's name for it is "Pisum sativum (pea) long non-coding RNA (PSAT_LNC006806)". Lineage: Eukaryota; Viridiplantae; Streptophyta; Magnoliopsida; Fabales; Fabaceae. The record is from RNAcentral.
UGGGAUUGAAGAUGAAAAGGGAUGGGAGAUGAGAGAAACACAAAUUAGUCAUGGGAGGAAUUUUAUCAAAUUAAAAUCAUUCAUUCAUUUUGGGAGAUGAAAUGUACAUUUCAUCAAUCCCCUAAAGUCAAUGAUUUUAACUCAACAAAAGUCAAAUCAACCUUGACCAAGGCCCAAACACAUAGUCAAACAUCACAAGUCAAU